This 505-nucleotide ribosomal RNA is filed under the name uncultured bacterium. Its description in RNAcentral is "partial 16S ribosomal RNA". It matches the Rfam family "Bacterial small subunit ribosomal RNA", at positions 28 to 507 of the family's 1533-position model. The record is from RNAcentral.
GACGAACGCUGGCGGCGUGCCUAAUACAUGCAAGUAGAACGCACAGUUUAUACCGUAGCUUGCUACACCAUAGACUGUGAGUUGCGAACGGGUGAGUAACGCGUAGGUAACCUGCCUGGUAGCGGGGGAUAACUAUUGGAAACGAUAGCUAAUACCGCAUAAUAUUAAUUAUUGCAUGAUAAUUGAUUGAAAGAUGCAACUGCAUCACUACCAGAUGGACCUGCGUUGUAUUAGCUAGUAGGCGAGGUAACGGCUCACCUAGGCGACGAUACAUAGCCGACCUGAGAGGGUGAUCGGCCACACUGGGACUGAGACACGGCCCAGACUCCUACGGGAGGCAGCAGUAGGGAAUCUUCGGCAAUGGACGAAAGUCUGACCGAGCAACGCCGCGUGAGUGAAGAAGGGUUUCGGAUCGUAAAGCUCUGUUGUAAGAGAAGAACGGGUGUGAGAGUGGAAAGUUCACACUGUGACGGUAUCUUACCAGAAAGGGACGGCUAACUACGUG